Molecule: long non-coding RNA, 1605 nt
Organism: Venturia canescens
Lineage: Eukaryota; Metazoa; Arthropoda; Insecta; Hymenoptera; Ichneumonidae
Exons: 2
Source: RefSeq, a predicted model, not a curated record
GCCUCUCCUGAAACAAUCAAAAUAAUGCUAGUGAGCGCUCUCGAGAUUGAGAUUUUCAGGCGAGUUUUACUCGCUACGUGUCAUCAUGAGAAAUUCAUCUUUUCUCUUUCUUUCAAACUUUUUUGAUCUUUUCAUUUUUAGAUGAUGGAGAUAAUUCAAGUUAAUUGCGUACUAUUGAUGACGUACGAGAUAAAGAAGAAAAAAUAUUACAUAUACCAUGUACUUUGUAUGAAUAAUCUGUUUGUGUUUGGAUCAAGCUCAGACAGCAUUAUAAAUAAUUGUUUCAGGCUGGAAAUAAAAAGUAUGCUUUUCCCUCGAUUUUUUUAAUUUCAAAUCUUUAUAGACAUGCUGCUUGGGUUUGGAAUUUCACUUUCUACCGUUCCAUGUUUUGAGUCAUUUAAACUUUGUCCUUCGACGUGGUAUUUCUCAUUGAAAAAGAAUUCAACGGUCUCAAGCUUUUUCGAAGAUUAGAUUUUGCCCGAUUCUAGCCUUUUUUUCUCUACUCUUAUCAAAUUAUUUUGAACUUUGAACAAGCAAUCGAGUUUUCAAUGUGGAGAAAAUACUAUAAUUAACAUUACGCUUAACCGCUUGAUGGAGAUCAAUUAACUUGCUCAGAACUUGUUAUGUUGUAACAAUAUUUUUCAUAAUUUUCACCAUUUAUAACGUAGGUCAAUGAAUUUCGAAUUUAUCAGUAUUCGAAUCAUGUGGAAAGUAAAAAAUAAAAAGCAAUCCAAAGUGUGUAAAAAUCAUUGAAAUAGCACUCCACUCCUUGGCACAAUAAACAUUGACUUUUAUUCUUUCAGCUUCUUAUUUCUCAUACAUACAUAUUUUGUCAAAAAAUAAGCUGAUAAGAAGCUGUCAGAAAAAUACUGAUAAUAAGCUAAUAAGCGUAAGAAUGCUGCAUCGAGGCAAUGGAAAUCACUGCAUUUAAAAUGAGAGAAUCGACGGAGAACCGAAUAUUCAUUUCACGUUGAACGUCGAACGAUAACGAGGCCAAAGAAAGCUGUGAUAAUCUUAAUGAAUAUAAGGAUUGAAAAAAAAUAGGAAUGAUUCAAAAGCAACUGUUUCCAUAUCGUAGCAUAUAUUUGCAUGGAUUAAAAUUGGUGCGAGCCCAAAACCCAUUAAAAAUCCAUCAUCCAGCAACUAAGACUCGGAUGAUGAAAAUUCAAUUUAAAUAUUAUCAAGGAAGGAAUAUUAUCAAUAUUCAAUAUUAUCAAGGAAGGAUAGUACUGUGUUAACGAUGGAUUUCUAAUGAAGCAGGUAAUUCAUUUUUCCUAACUCUGACAUGAUUCUAUAAACGAACAAAAACUUCAUAACCGAAGUGCAUGUACUGAGUUGGUGCUUAUUAUUCAUAUAAAGAAGGAUAAUUCUAAUGAAAACUAUGAAAUGUAGAAAUCAAUGCGAGAAUGAAAAUAUGAUGGUUGAUCGAACUUACAGAUUAAUAUUUUUCAGUAGUUGUCCUUUAACAAAGCCGUCAUAUUUUGUUGCAGUGGGUGUAAGGGCAACAGUUUCUUUACCCUCUGACUCAUAAACUCCGAGAACUAAUCCUUUCUGUAAAUAUGAGAAAUCAUGUGAAUGAACAAUAAAAGUACUUUCUCAAUUUCA